RNAcentral lists this ribosomal RNA (664 nucleotides) under Bacillus wiedmannii. RNAcentral's name for it is "bacterial SSU rRNA". It matches the Rfam family "Bacterial small subunit ribosomal RNA", at positions 46 to 689 of the family's 1533-position model. Lineage: Bacteria; Bacillati; Bacillota; Bacilli; Caryophanales; Bacillaceae. The record is from RNAcentral.
GCCUAAUACAUGCAAGUCGAGCGAAUGGAUUAGAGAGCUUGCUCUUAUGAAGUUAGCGGCGGACGGGUGAGUAACACGUGGGUAACCUGCCCAUAAGACUGGGAUAACUCCGGGAAACCGGGGCUAAUACCGGAUAAUAUUUUGAACUGCAUGGUUCGAAAUUGAAAGGCGGCUUCGGCUGUCACUUAUGGAUGGACCCGCGUCGCAUUAGCUAGUUGGUGAGGUAACGGCUCACCAAGGCAACGAUGCGUAGCCGACCUGAGAGGGUGAUCGGCCACACUGGGACUGAGACACGGCCCAGACUCCUACGGGAGGCAGCAGUAGGGAAUCUUCCGCAAUGGACGAAAGUCUGACGGAGCAACGCCGCGUGAGUGAUGAAGGCUUUCGGGUCGUAAAACUCUGUUGUUAGGGAAGAACAAGUGCUAGUUGAAUAAGCUGGCACCUUGACGGUACCUAACCAGAAAGCCACGGCUAACUACGUGCCAGCAGCCGCGGUAAUACGUAGGUGGCAAGCGUUAUCCGGAAUUAUUGGGCGUAAAGCGCGCGCAGGUGGUUUCUUAAGUCUGAUGUGAAAGCCCACGGCUCAACCGUGGAGGGUCAUUGGAAACUGGGAGACUUGAGUGCAGAAGAGGAAAGUGGAAUUCCAUGUGUAGCGAUGAAGUGC